This 253-nucleotide ribosomal RNA is filed under the name uncultured bacterium. RNAcentral describes it as "partial 16S ribosomal RNA". It matches the Rfam family "Bacterial small subunit ribosomal RNA", at positions 524 to 776 of the family's 1533-position model. The record is from RNAcentral.
UACGGAGGGUGCAAGCGUUGUUCGGAAUCACUGGGCGUAAAGCGCGUGUAGGCGGCCCAUUAAGUCUGAUGUGAAAGCCCGGGGCUCACCCCCGGAAGUGCAUUGGAAACUGAUGGACUCGAGUCCCGGAGAGGAGGGUGGAAUUCCUGGUGUAGCGGUGAAAUGCGUAGAUAUCAGGAGGAACACCGGUGGCGAAGGCGGCCCUCUGGACGGUGACUGACGCUGAGACGCGAAAGCGUGGGGAGCGAACAGG